This 65-nucleotide transfer RNA is filed under the name Megaporus rufipes. RNAcentral describes it as "tRNA-Phe". Lineage: Eukaryota; Metazoa; Arthropoda; Insecta; Coleoptera; Dytiscidae. The record is from RNAcentral.
ACUUAAAUAGCUUAUAUAGAGCAUAAUAUUGAAGAUAUUAGGGAGAUUAAUUUAAUCUUUAGGUA